AUGGUGGUAAUGCUUGCUUUAGGGGUCACUCACAGGUGCCUGGUCACCUCGUUGCACCCUUGGGAAGGUCUGAGACAUUGGUCAAGCGUGGCUCUAGCAGGGCUCCACUGUAAUCGGUGGGUGGGACAACCAGAAAUAGUCCAGCCCCGUCGCGUUUCGGCAGAAGACGUCUUGGUGUGCGGUUGCUAUCCUCGGCUGAUGCUAUGCGGCGGUGGUUCGGUUGGAACGGACCCACGACCGGCGACUGCAGUCCAAUUCGCAGGGUGAUGCGGCGCCAUCAUAACUCAAUUCAGACUACUCUACCCCCAU
Molecule: RNase P RNA, 309 nt
Filed under: Capitella teleta
Lineage: Eukaryota; Metazoa; Annelida; Polychaeta; Capitellidae
Description: nuclear RNase P
Rfam family: Nuclear RNase P
About the family: Ribonuclease P (RNase P) is a ubiquitous endoribonuclease, found in archaea, bacteria and eukarya as well as chloroplasts and mitochondria. Its best characterised activity is the generation of mature 5'-ends of tRNAs by cleaving the 5'-leader elements of precursor-tRNAs.
Source: Rfam by way of RNAcentral